CGGGGUAUAGCGCAGUCUGGUAGCGCGCCUGCUUUGGGAGCAGGAUGUCGGGGGUUCAAAUCCCUCUACCCCGAUAU
This 77-nucleotide transfer RNA is filed under the name Coxiella burnetii RSA 331. RNAcentral describes it as "tRNA-Pro". It matches the Rfam family "tRNA". From Rfam's summary of the family: Transfer RNA (tRNA) molecules are approximately 80 nucleotides in length. Their secondary structure includes four short double-helical elements and three loops (D, anti-codon, and T loops). The record is from RNAcentral. RNAcentral also lists the same sequence under 1 other name. Lineage: Bacteria; Pseudomonadati; Pseudomonadota; Gammaproteobacteria; Legionellales; Coxiellaceae.